UUGCGUCAAAUAUUUCACACAUUUUAUGUCGAGUUAUUACAUAUAUCUUAGUAAAAUUGAGUAUAAAUUUCGCUCUCUGUAAUUUUACAACGAUAAAAAUUUUUUAUCACAAGCACAACUGCAUUUCAUUAAUAAACAUUACGUGUCGCUAGCGAUGUAACGUCACCCUAAUGCUUAGAAUGAAAUAUCUAGUUUGUUUUUUAUUAAUUUAAAUUUGACAAACCUGUGUGUGUAUUCAAAUGCGUUUAUUUCUUAAAUUAAAUAUUCGUGUCGUUACGACCAGGUGUAUAAUCCGUUGAAGAAUUUAAAGCUUUCAAAGACCUCUAUCCUGGCUGGAUCAGGAUUACAAAAGUGACUCAAUAAUUCUUCGUUGAAUCCACAAUCGCUUAGAUUUUCUUGUCCAAACACAUUAGGUGGUACUUUCGUGAUAUUAUGAUCCUCUUCUUUUGUAACGCUUGUAUAACCUGUAACAAAAAUACUUAAAACGGAGUUGUCGAUUCCAGUUGUGCGCAGCUCGCCGAAUACUGUUCCAAUUGACUAGAUGUCAUCAAAUGACAGAGAGAUGGUAACACUUGCGGCAAAAGAGGUCCUUUCAAUUCCAAAGAGUAAUAUCUGUCGUUAUCAACACGUACUACACUUUCCCGGACCUUUGUUAAGAAAAUUUCGUUCUUCAAAACGGGGACGUAUUUCGCCGUUGUGGAGUUUGGAAAUUAAAGCGUAUGUACCCUGGUCUACCCAAAACAUCGACGGUAUUUAAGAGACAGAUACAGUUUCGGGCAAGAAGACGCAAGAGCACCUCGCAGAGGGAGAAUUCAGCCGUUUAUCCUGGACCGACCGCGAUCCACCGGGGCUGUUAUCGACGGGAGGCUGGAUCCAAGUUUUCGCUCUCUGAUAGCGCGUUCGCCUGUAUAUCAAAGGUAUACAUCCGCGGGCCUCUCGACGCGGCGGCGAUAGCAUCGGAGAGACAGAGAACGGUAGGUGCGAUUUUUGGACGGAAAGAAGAAAGGGAAAAUACGACAGCGAAAUAGACCGACCUACGAUGUCUGCGACACUGUCGGAAAUAUUUCGUUUCCGGGUCACACGCGGCUGCUGCGAUUAUUCGUGCCGUAUAUUCGGCGAUGCCGAGAGCAUCAACGAGACUUUCCGCGGAAUGAGAAGCCGUAUGUUGCGAGAAAAGAAAAAAAGCCGAAAGUACCGGAAGAAUAUGCGGGGCACCUUAUUUCUCGAGGAAAUAAAAGCGACGGAAAUUCGUUCUCGAAGCGAUCGUAACUCUUGCAAUGCGGAGACUGCUUGCAACGUGUGAUUGUGAAUUAUAUAGAUAAAAGUGUAAUUGGUAAUAGGAAAAGGAAUAAGGGAUGCAAGGAAAAAUCGUAUAUCGUAUGGAAAGCACGCGGCGGAGGAAAAGAUAUCGCCGCUCCGGCGAUUCGAGAUACACGAUUACCGCGAAACUAAUAAUAAACAGGGCGGCGAAUUGAAUUAAUCGCUCCCCCUAACUUAGUUUCCGAUCCACUGGUCGAUUUCCGAGUAUUACUCGCCAAGCUCAUUAGGAGCUGUUUAGUUGCGCAAGAAUUUCCGGAAGUACCGCCGGCACUCCGGUAUCGACUGCGCUUCCAGCGACUAUCGUUUGCUCGUUAACGAUAAUGCUUCUGAGUUUAGAGAAUACAAAAGUCCAUACUACGAGCAAUCAACUUACGUUCAAACGUUUCCCGGUAAUGGGAACCGAAUCGCUUUCCCUUCCCUUCUUCCUUCGCCUCGCACCGAACUGGGAAAAGCCGGCUGGAAACGAGAUGGAUACACAGAGAAACGAAACGAAGAAAGAGAAGGAGCGCUUCCGAUUCGCCCGCACGGCUUGCAUACAAUUAACUCCGAAAACAUAAGUUUCUCGUUUCUCGUAGAGAAGAAAGCGUUCGGCUACGGUCUUUAGACGUGCCCUGAAAUAAAAAAAAAAAAAAAAAAAAAAAAAAAAAA
Nylanderia fulva is the source of this 1968-nucleotide RNA transcript. RefSeq lists it as uncharacterized. NCBI's taxonomy places the organism in Eukaryota, Metazoa, Arthropoda, Insecta, Hymenoptera, Formicidae. The record is from RefSeq and is a predicted model, not a curated record.